RNAcentral lists this long non-coding RNA (266 nucleotides) under Gossypium barbadense (sea-island cotton). RNAcentral describes it as "long non-coding RNA (GBAR_LNC017526)". The record is from RNAcentral. Lineage: Eukaryota; Viridiplantae; Streptophyta; Magnoliopsida; Malvales; Malvaceae.
ACUAAUUAUUUCAUUAGUUUUUGAUUUCAUGGCUGAUUUUGAAAGUUUCUAUGAAUACAUGCUGGAAGUAUAUGAUGAAUGAACAUGGAAUUAAAGCUUUAAUUUUGUUAUAUGAUGAUUUUAUUAAGUAAUUUUGAUAGAAAUUGAUUUUAGGGACUUAAUUGUGAAAAAGUUGAGAAUUAAGGUUUGGUGUUGCGGUUUUGAGUAUGAAAGGCUAUGUAGUAGUUUAAAAUAGUUGGAAAAGGUGUUAAUUGAGAAAAAUUAGA